ACGGAAAAACACCACGGUGCAAGAUUAACUUCCUUCAGCACGGUUGACAUGCUGGGAGUGCUGCUUCUGUGUCUUCUCAUCUCGGCUCCAACUGCUGCCCAAGAGAAAGAGCUCUUCACCCUGACCUACCCAAAGGGUCCAGUCUCAGCUCCUCUGGGCAGUUCUGUGGUUCUGGGCUGCGUGGCG
Molecule: long non-coding RNA, 186 nt
Organism: Engraulis encrasicolus (European anchovy)
Lineage: Eukaryota; Metazoa; Chordata; Actinopteri; Clupeiformes; Engraulidae
Exons: 3
Source: RefSeq, a predicted model, not a curated record